Molecule: ribosomal RNA, 462 nt
Filed under: uncultured bacterium
Lineage: Bacteria
Description: SSU rRNA
Rfam family: Bacterial small subunit ribosomal RNA
Source: RNAcentral
AGAAUCAACGCUGGCGGCGUGCCUAACACAUGCAAGUCGAACGAGAAAGUGGAGCAAUUCACAAGUAAAGUGGCGCACGGGUGAGUAACACGUGACUAACCUACCCUUGAGUGGGGGGAUAACCUAGGGAAAACCUGGGCUAAUACCGCAUAAUACCUACGGGUCAAAGGAGCAAUUCGCUUAAGGAGGGGGUCGCGGCCGAUUAGUUAGUUGGCGGGGUAAUGGCCCACCAAGACGAUGAUCGGUAUCCGGCCUGAGAGGGCGCACGGACACACUGGAACUGAAACACGGUCCAGACUCCUACGGGAGGCAGCAGUGGGGAAUUUUGCGCAAUGGGGGAAACCCUGACGCAGCAACGCCGCGUGGAGGAUGAAGUCCCUUGGGACGUAAACUCCUUUCGAUCGGGACGAUAAUGACGGUACCGGAAGAAGAAGCCCCGGCUAACUUCGCGCCAGCAGCCGC